GAUGAACGCUGGCGGCGUGCCUAAAACAUGCAAGUCGAGCGGUAAGGCUUUGCACUUAGUGUUUGAUCGAGAUAAUUUAUUAUCACAGUUAACCAAUCGGAACCUUGGCGGGGGAAGUGCGGAAGAGGAAGAUCGAAUUAUAAGUGUAGAGUACACGAGCGGCGGACGGGUGAGUAACACGUGGGAAUCUACCCCAAACUGAGGGAUAAGCACCGGAAACGGUGUCUAAUACCGCAUAUGGUCUUCGGAUUAAAGCUUCGGCGGUUUGGGAAGAGCCCGCGCAAGAUUAGCUAGUUGGUGAGGUAAAGGCUCACCAAGGCGACGAUCUUUAGCUGGUUUGAGAGGAUGAUCAGCCACACUGGAACUGAGACACGGUCCAGACUCCUACGGGAGGCAGCAGUUAGGAAUUUUCCACAAUGGCGCAAGCCUGAUGGAGCAACGCCGCGUGCAGGAUGAAGGUUUUCGGAUUGUAAACUGCUUUUAUAAGUGAAGAAUAUGACGGUAACUUAUGAAUAAGG
RNAcentral lists this ribosomal RNA (518 nucleotides) under uncultured bacterium. RNAcentral's name for it is "bacterial SSU rRNA". It matches the Rfam family "Bacterial small subunit ribosomal RNA", at positions 28 to 491 of the family's 1533-position model. The record is from RNAcentral.